GACGAACGCUGGCGGCGUGCUUAACACAUGCAAGUCGAACGGAAAGGCCCUGCUUGCAGGGUACUCGAGUGGCGAACGGGUGAGUAACACGUGGGUGAUCUGCCCUGCACUUCGGGAUAAGCCUGGGAAACUGGGUCUAAUACCGGAUAGGAGCCAUUUUUAGUGUGAUGGUUGGAAAGUUUUUUCGGUGUAGGAUGAGCUCGCGGCCUAUCAGCUUGUUGGUGGGGUAAUGGCCUACCAAGGCGGCGACGGGUAGCCGGCCUGAGAGGGUGGACGGCCACAUUGGGACUGAGAUACGGCCCAGACUCCUACGGGAGGCAGCAGUGGGGAAUAUUGCACAAUGGGCGCAAGCCUGAUGCAGCGACGCCGCGUGGGGGAUGACGGCCUUCGGGUUGUAAACUCCUUUCGCUAGGGACGAAGCUUUUGUGACGGUACCUAGAUAAGAAGCACCGGCUAACUACGUA
This 464-nucleotide ribosomal RNA is filed under the name uncultured bacterium. RNAcentral describes it as "partial 16S ribosomal RNA". It matches the Rfam family "Bacterial small subunit ribosomal RNA", at positions 28 to 507 of the family's 1533-position model. The record is from RNAcentral.